CCUCCCCCCAAAAUACAGCACAGUCAGCAGCAGUGCAGGCUUCGCCAUGCUGCUCCACCAGUGAGUCUUAGCUCUGCCCUGGAGGGACCAUUGCUAGGAAUAGGAGGCUG
Molecule: small RNA, 110 nt
Filed under: Gopherus agassizii (Agassiz's desert tortoise)
Lineage: Eukaryota; Metazoa; Chordata; Testudines; Testudinidae
Description: TUC338 (ENSGAGG00000003035.1)
Source: RNAcentral